RNAcentral lists this long non-coding RNA (458 nucleotides) under Gallus gallus (chicken). Lineage: Eukaryota; Metazoa; Chordata; Aves; Galliformes; Phasianidae. The record is from RNAcentral.
GAAAGGAGAGCAGCCAGUGUGUGCUUCCUGGAGUGCCUGCAAGCCCCAAUAUCCACACAUGGACUAGGAGCGAGACUGGGAAUGGGAAAGCCAUGCUGGAGAUUGGGAGCAUCAUGUCUGCAAGAAUUGCUUCAACAGAACUAAAAGAAAUAUUCUAGACUGACAAUACAAUGAGACAGCAAAGGACAAAGUGGUAAAGAUGGUGUAGUAGAAAUGCUAAGUCAUGUCUUGAAACAGUGAUUGAGCACCUGCUGGGAAGACAGGGCCAACACAGGAUUGCUCAGGAGCAUGCAAUGCACCUGAGUGCAGGAUCCACCCCUUCCCAGACCUCAUUUAAGGGUUGGCAGUAGAGGCCAGAGGAUCUCUCUGGGGGUCCUUGCAUACCUGAGGCUUUCUGAAGGCUAUCAAAUGCAUCAUCUCUAGAAAGGACGUGGACGGAUGCGUGUGCAACACCUCCC